Molecule: ribosomal RNA, 329 nt
Filed under: uncultured eukaryote
Lineage: Eukaryota
Description: partial 18S ribosomal RNA
Rfam family: Eukaryotic small subunit ribosomal RNA
Source: RNAcentral
CCCUUAGAUGUCCUGGGCCGCACGCGCGCUACACUGAGUGUCUGAGAUACGAGUCUGCCCGGUCCGGCAAGGUCUAGGUAAUCGCUAAAAGACACAUCAUGCUUGGGAUAGAUUAUUGCAAAUAUUAAUCUUGAACGAGGAAUUCCUAGUAAGCGCAAGUCAACAGCUUGCGUUGAUUACGUCCCUGCCCUUUGUACACACCGCCCGUCGCUACUACUGAUUGGAUGUUUAAGCGAGGUUCUCGAACUGCUAGCGACUUAGCUUCGGUGAGGUCGCAGUGUGGGAAGUGAACCUAGCUUUGGUGUCUAGAGGAAGUAAAAGUCGUAACA